Molecule: long non-coding RNA, 443 nt
Filed under: Gossypium barbadense (sea-island cotton)
Lineage: Eukaryota; Viridiplantae; Streptophyta; Magnoliopsida; Malvales; Malvaceae
Description: long non-coding RNA (GBAR_LNC008059)
Source: RNAcentral
CCUUGAAAUCUCGAAAGAUCUCACAACUCCCUUCAAACGGCUCUAAUCUCCCCUCCAAAGAAUAUCAAUGGCAAGAAGAAGGUUGAAGAUGGCUCCCACAAUCAAAAAGAUUGUUAAAACAACUUCUAAAGAAAACACAAGAGAAAAUCCUUGAAGAACUCAAAGAGAAUUUUCACUCAAAUCAAAUCUGAAAUUUUCAAUGUAAUUGUAACGUAAUGUAGGGUGGCUGGCCAAGCCAUAUAAAUAGGCCUUUCAAAUGUUUUCCUAAUUUAAUUAGAACACUAAAACUAAAACUAAAAAAAAAACUCCUAAUUAUUUUAAUAUGGAAAUUCGGCUAAGGGUCUUUUAUUUGGGACUCUUGGACUGAAUAUAAAAAUUUAAACUAAGUAAAAUAAAUAAAUAAAUAAAUAAAAAUAAAACUUUACAACUUGGGCCACUUUGAC